This 487-nucleotide ribosomal RNA is filed under the name uncultured Sphingobacterium sp. RNAcentral describes it as "partial 16S ribosomal RNA". Lineage: Bacteria; Pseudomonadati; Bacteroidota; Sphingobacteriia; Sphingobacteriales; Sphingobacteriaceae. The record is from RNAcentral.
CACGGAGUUAGCCGAUCCUUAUUCUUCCAGUACAUUCAGCUAGAUACACGUAUCUAGGUUUAUUCCUGGACAAAAGCAGUUUACAACCCAUAGGGCAGUCAUCCUGCACGCGGCAUGGCUGGUUCAGGCUUCCGCCCAUUGACCAAUAUUCCUUACUGCUGCCUCCCGUAGGAGUCUGGUCCGUGUCUCAGUACCAGUGUGGGGGAUUCUCCUCUCAGAGCCCCUAGACAUCGUCGCCUUGGUAAGCCGUUACCCUACCAACUAGCUAAUGUCACGCGAGCCCAUCUCUAUCCUAUAAAUAUUUAAUAAUUCCUCGAUGCCGGGAAAUUAUAUUAUGCGGUGUUAAUCUCUCUUUCGAGAGGCUAUCCCCCUGAUAGAGGUAGGUUGCUCACGCGUUACGCACCCGUGCGCCACUCUCACCAUCUUCGAGCAAGCUCUCCGAUGGAUCCCGUCCGACUUGCAUGUAUUAGGCCUGCCGCUAGCGUUC